RNAcentral lists this ribosomal RNA (497 nucleotides) under uncultured bacterium. Its description in RNAcentral is "partial 16S ribosomal RNA". It matches the Rfam family "Bacterial small subunit ribosomal RNA", at positions 28 to 507 of the family's 1533-position model. The record is from RNAcentral.
GAUGAACGCUGGCAGCGUGCCUAAUACAUGCGAGUCGAGCGAACAGACGAGGAGCUUGCUCCUCUGACGUUAGCGGCGGACGGGUGAGUAACACGUGGAUAACCUACCUAUAAGACUGGGAUAACUUCGGGAAACCGGAGCUAAUACCGGAUAAUAUAUUGAACCGCAUGGUUCAAUAGUGAAAGACGGUUUUGCUUUCACUUAUAGAUGGAUCCGCGCCGCAUUAGCUAGUAGGUAAGGUAACGGCUUACCAAGGCAACGAUGCGUAGCCGACCUGAGAGGGUGAUCGGCCACACUGGAACUGAGACACGGUCCAGACUCCUACGGGAGGCAGCAGUAGGGAAUCUUCCGCAAUGGGCGAAAGCUUGACGGAGCAACGCCGCGUGAGUGAUGAAGGUCUUCGGAUCGUAAAACUCUGUUAUUAGGGAAGAACAAAUGUGUAAGUAACUAUGCACGUCUUGACGGUACCUAAUCAGAAAGCCACGGCUAACUACGUG